CGGGGCGUGGCUCAGCUUGGCUAGAGCGCUGCGUUCGGGACGCAGAGGUCGAAGGUUCAAAUCCUUUCGCCCCGACCA
This 78-nucleotide transfer RNA is filed under the name Planctomycetota bacterium. Its description in RNAcentral is "Planctomycetes bacterium tRNA-Pro". It matches the Rfam family "tRNA". Rfam says of the family: Transfer RNA (tRNA) molecules are approximately 80 nucleotides in length. Lineage: Bacteria; Pseudomonadati; Planctomycetota. The record is from RNAcentral.